AGUGAACGCUGGCGGUAGGCCUAACACAUGCAAGUCGGACGGCAGCACAGGAGAGCUUGCUCUCUGGGUGGCGAGUGGCGGACGGGUGAGGAAUACAUCGGAAUCUACUCUGUCGUGGGGGAUAACGUAGGGAAACUUACGCUAAUACCGCAUACGACCUACGGGUGAAAGCAGGGGACCUUCGGGCCUUGCGCGAUUGAAUGAGCCGAUGUCGGAUUAGCUAGUUGGCGGGGUAAAGGCCCACCAAGGCGACGAUCCGUAACUGGUCUGAGAGGAUGAUCAACCACACUGGAACUGAGACACGGUCCAGACUCCUACGGGAGGCAGCAGUGGGGAAUAUUGGACAAUGGGCGCAAGCCUGAUCCAGCCAUACCGCGUGGGUGAAGAAGGCCUUCGGGUUGUAAAGCCCUUUUGUUGGGAAAGAAAUCCAGCUGGCUAAUACCCGGUUGGGAUGACGGUACCCAAAGAAUAAGCACCGGCUGACUUCGUGCCAGCCGCCGCCGUAA
This 506-nucleotide ribosomal RNA is filed under the name uncultured bacterium. RNAcentral's name for it is "partial 16S ribosomal RNA". It matches the Rfam family "Bacterial small subunit ribosomal RNA", at positions 29 to 523 of the family's 1533-position model. The record is from RNAcentral.